UGGUCAGGAUGUUUGCAUUCUCUGUUCC
RNAcentral lists this non-coding RNA (28 nucleotides) under Rattus norvegicus (Norway rat). The record is from RNAcentral. Lineage: Eukaryota; Metazoa; Chordata; Mammalia; Rodentia; Muridae.